UGCAAGGAAAGGCCAAGACGAUGAAGU
This 27-nucleotide non-coding RNA is filed under the name Mus musculus (house mouse). The record is from RNAcentral. Lineage: Eukaryota; Metazoa; Chordata; Mammalia; Rodentia; Muridae.